UACAGAGGUCCCGAGCGUUGUUCGGAUUCACUGGGCGUAAAGGGUGCGCAGGUGGGUUGGCAAGUUUGAUGUGAAAGCCCCGGGCUUAACCCGGGAAUGGCAUUGAAUACUGCUGAUCUGGAGGAUCGGAGGGGGGACUGGAAUUCUUGGUGUAGCAGUGAAAUGCGUAGAUAUCAAGAGGAACACCGGUGGCGAAGGCGGGUCUCUGGGCAGUAACUGACGCUGGAGGAAGCGAAAGCGUGGGGAGCGAACAGG
Molecule: ribosomal RNA, 255 nt
Filed under: uncultured bacterium
Lineage: Bacteria
Description: partial 16S ribosomal RNA
Rfam family: Bacterial small subunit ribosomal RNA
Source: RNAcentral